This 165-nucleotide ribosomal RNA is filed under the name uncultured bacterium. RNAcentral's name for it is "partial 16S rRNA". It matches the Rfam family "Bacterial small subunit ribosomal RNA", at positions 354 to 511 of the family's 1533-position model. The record is from RNAcentral.
UAGGGGAAUCUUCCACAAUGGACGAAAGUCUGAUGGAGCAACGCCGCGUGAGUGAAGAAGGGUUUCGGCUCGUAAAACUCUGUUGUUAAAGAAGAACAUAUCUGAGAGUAACUGCUCAGGUAUUGACGGUAUUUAACCAGAAAGCCACGGCUAACUACGUGCCAA